ACCCCCACUAUCUGCUCCUCCCCCGACCUCACCACCACUUCCACAAUCUCCUCCUCCAAGUAAAGUGACAUCGCCACCUCCAAGUAACGCGACAUCCCCUCCUCCAAGUAACGCGACUUCACCACCUCCAAGUAACGUGACAUCCCCUCCUCCAAGUAACGUGACAUUUCCUCCUCCAAUGGCUUCCCCGCCCACAGCAUCCACUCCUCUAACCAAUGAUCCACCUCCAGCUGUUAGCCCUCCACCUAGCUCGCCUUCCAGUUCACCGCCACCUCAAUCUUCUCCUCCGCCUUCCAGUUCACCACCACCUCAAUCUUCUCCUCCCCCCGAUAGUUCUCCUCCACCUACCCCACCAGUUAGUUCGUCACCACCUCCAAAAGUAGAGACUCCAUCUGUCUCACCUCCCCCACAACCAACUCCUCCUACAAGUUCAUCUCCACCACCUCCAAAAGUUGAUCCUCCUCCUACCUCACCUCCACCACAAGGAACCACUCCUCCAAGUUCACCUUCACCACCUCCGAAAGAUGAUCCUCCACCUGAUUCACCUCCACCACCUGCACAGAAUCCGGAUCCUUCUCCAC
RNAcentral lists this long non-coding RNA (581 nucleotides) under Capsicum annuum. RNAcentral's name for it is "long non-coding RNA (CANN_LNC018194)". Lineage: Eukaryota; Viridiplantae; Streptophyta; Magnoliopsida; Solanales; Solanaceae. The record is from RNAcentral.